AGCAUGUCACGCAUUUUCUAUUGAGUUUUAGAACGUUUUGAACACCAGACAACGAGACUCGUGGCAGCCAUAUUGGCGUGACCUCAUUAGUUAUUCACUUUCAAGUUUAGACAAUAUUUCUUCUUUCCCACCAAUAAGAACGUGUUAGAACCUCUUCUAACACGUCGCACAAAAGGCGCCAUUGACUUCAUUAGUGCAUAGCGGAUGCAGUAUCCAGUCUAGCCUGCGUGUCAGGCUAUGCUUG
Paramuricea clavata is the source of this 244-nucleotide non-coding RNA. Lineage: Eukaryota; Metazoa; Cnidaria; Anthozoa; Malacalcyonacea; Plexauridae. The record is from the annotation of a GenBank genome assembly.